AUGAGUUGUUUCUUUCUCUCCAAGUUCUAUCUUCUUCCUAAAUAUCUCCUGUAUCCAAACUACUUUGUAUGCGCUGUACGGGAGGUGCGUCCCGCCUAUAUUAACACGUACCCGUCGGCCUCAACAGGCAAGAUGUUUCCAGCUAUUCGCACAUGGUAUCAGAGCUAUCCUUUUCUCAUCAAAGCUCCCUGCAAACUCCUUCUAGCCCUAGCCAUGUCUUCCACCUCUGGCGCAUCCCAAACCAGCCUCAAUAGCCAAGUUACCGAGAAGCUAACCCGCACAAAUUAUGUGCUAUGGCGCACGCAAGUCAUCCCUCAGCUGCGCGGCGCCGGUGUCUAUGGCUACAUCAACGGCACCCAGUCGGAGCCGGCGAAACUCCUCGUCACCACCAAGGACGGCAAGGAGGUUUCGUCAACGCCCAACCCUCUCCACCCAAUCUGGGUCCGGGAGGAUCAGCAGGUUCUGGGAUACCUGCUGAACAACCUGACGCGUGAGGUGCUGCUCACGGUGACCACGGUCACCACCGCGGGCGCGCUCUGGACGACGCUCGCUAGGAUGUUCUCGUCCCAGUCCGCCAGCCGCAUCAACAACAUACGAACGUCCCUCAUCAACGCGCAGAAAGGGAGUCUCUCCGUUGCCUCCUACUUCGCCGCCAUGCGCAGCUACGCCGAUGAGCUAGCCGCCGCAGGCAAGGCGAUCCCGGACGACGAACUCGCCUCCUACAUCAUCCAUGGGCUCGACGCCGACUAUCAGCCUCUGGUGUCUGCCCUCGACGCUCGCGUGACCGCGGUAACCCUUGAUGAACUCUUUGCCAUGUUAUCGAAUUUCGAUCAGCGCAUGGCUCACUUCUAG
This 852-nucleotide ribosomal RNA is filed under the name Triticum aestivum (bread wheat). RNAcentral describes it as "partial small subunit ribosomal RNA". Lineage: Eukaryota; Viridiplantae; Streptophyta; Magnoliopsida; Poales; Poaceae. The record is from RNAcentral.